CUAUAGGCCCUGGUCUAAUGUAGUGCUCUAUAGUGCCCUAUAGGCCCUGGUCUAAUGUAGUGCCAUAUAGGCCCUGGUCUAAUGUAGUGCUCUAUAGUGCCCUAUAGGCCCUGGUCUAAUGUAGUGCUCUAUAGAGCCCUAUAGGCCCUGGUCUAAUGUAGUGCCCUAUAGGCCCUGGUCUAAUGUAGUGCUCUAUAGAGCCCUAUAGGCCCUGGUCUAAUGUAGUGCCCUAUAGGCCCUGGUCUAAUGUAGUGCCCUAUAGGCCCUGGUCUAAUGUAGUGCCAUAUAGGCCCUGGUCUAAUGUAGUGCACUAUAGAGCCCUAAAGGCCCUGGUCUAAUGUAGUGCUCUAUAGAGCCC
This is a long non-coding RNA of Oncorhynchus tshawytscha (Chinook salmon), 358 nucleotides long. The record is from Ensembl. NCBI's taxonomy places the organism in Eukaryota, Metazoa, Chordata, Actinopteri, Salmoniformes, Salmonidae.